Molecule: unclassified non-coding RNA, 251 nt
Filed under: Hevea brasiliensis (rubber tree)
Lineage: Eukaryota; Viridiplantae; Streptophyta; Magnoliopsida; Malpighiales; Euphorbiaceae
Source: RNAcentral
AUCCUGCCCAGUCACUAUCAGAAUAUCCCUGCAGCUUGAAAUUCGGACACUUUGUAAACUUAAUGCCAUAAUCCAAAGUUCCUUUCACAUACCUUAUCACCUUUUUUGCUGCUUUCAUGUGCAUUUCACUUGCACAAUUCAAGAAGCUAGAUAGCACACUCACACUUUGCAGAAUGUCUGGUCUGGUGGUUGUGAGAUACAUGAGACAACCAAUAAUACUUCUGUAGAUUCCUUCACCUACUUUGUCUGAG